RNAcentral lists this ribosomal RNA (253 nucleotides) under uncultured bacterium. RNAcentral describes it as "partial 16S ribosomal RNA". It matches the Rfam family "Bacterial small subunit ribosomal RNA", at positions 524 to 776 of the family's 1533-position model. The record is from RNAcentral.
UACGUAGGGGGCUAGCGUUGUUCGGAAUCACUGGGCGUAAAGCGCACGUAGGCGGAUCUUUAAGUCAGGGGUGAAAUCCCGAGGCUCAACCUCGGAACUGCCUUUGAUACUGGGGAUCUCGAGUCCGGGAGAGGUGAGUGGAACUGCGAGUGUAGAGGUGAAAUUCGUAGAUAUUCGCAAGAACACCAGUGGCGAAGGCGGCUCACUGGCCCGGAACUGACGCUGAGGUGCGAAAGCGUGGGGAGCAAACGGG